RNAcentral lists this ribosomal RNA (482 nucleotides) under uncultured bacterium. RNAcentral's name for it is "partial 16S ribosomal RNA". It matches the Rfam family "Bacterial small subunit ribosomal RNA", at positions 30 to 507 of the family's 1533-position model. The record is from RNAcentral.
AUUGAACGCUGGCGGCAUGCUUUACACAUGCAAGUCGAACGGUAACAGGCCGCAAGGUGCUGACGAGUGGCGGACGGGUGAGUAAUGCAUCGGAACGUGCCCAGUCGUGGGGGAUAACUACUCGAAAGAGUAGCUAAUACCGCAUACGAGCUAUGGAUGAAAGCGGGGGACCGUAAGGCCUCGCGCGAGUGGAGCGGCCGAUGUCAGAUUAGGUAGUUGGUGGGGUAAAGGCUCACCAAGCCAACGAUCUGUAGCUGGUCUGAGAGGACGACCAGCCACACUGGGACUGAGACACGGCCCAGACUCCUACGGGAGGCAGCAGUGGGGAAUUUUGGACAAUGGGCGCAAGCCUGAUCCAGCAAUGCCGCGUGCAGGAAGAAGGCCUUCGGGUUGUAAACUGCUUUUGUACGGAACGAAACGGCUCUGGUUAAUACCCGGGGCUAAUGACGGUACCGUAAGAAUAAGCACCGGCUAACUACGUG